This is a long non-coding RNA of Mytilus californianus (California mussel), 146 nucleotides long. RefSeq lists it as uncharacterized. Lineage: Eukaryota; Metazoa; Mollusca; Bivalvia; Mytilida; Mytilidae. The record is from RefSeq and is a predicted model, not a curated record. The transcript has 2 exons.
UCUCCUGUAUAGGAGUUACGAUAUCGCCCUUUGCAGAAAUGGAUGCGGAGCCGGUUCCCUCACAUAAUGGGAAAGCAAAGAAGAUGAAGUCCUCCAGAACUAACAGAGACGAUAAAUUUUUCAAACAUUAAAAUAUUUUUAAGCUU